Molecule: small RNA, 29 nt
Filed under: Bombyx mori (domestic silkworm)
Lineage: Eukaryota; Metazoa; Arthropoda; Insecta; Lepidoptera; Bombycidae
Description: ovarian small RNA-14641
Source: RNAcentral
CUAGUUGGGAUGGAGCUACUAAGCCUGGU